AUUGAACGCUGGCGGCAUGCCUUACACAUGCAAGUCGAACGGUAACGCGGGGGCAACCCUGGCGACGAGUGGCGAACGGGUGAGUAAUACAUCGGAACAUAUCCAGUAGCGGGGGAUAACCUAUCGAAAGAUUGGCUAAUACCGCAUACGAUCUACGGAUGAAAGCGGGGGACCGCAAGGCCUCGCACUAUUGGAGUGGCCGAUGUCAGAUUAGCUAGUUGGUGGGGUAAAAGCCUACCAAGGCGACGAUCUGUAGCUGGUCUGAGAGGACGAUCAGCCACACUGGAACUGAGACACGGUCCAGACUCCUACGGGAGGCAGCAGUGGGGAAUUUUGGACAAUGGGCGCAAGCCUGAUCCAGCCAUGCCGCGUGAGUGAAGAAGGCCUGGUUGUAAGCUCUUCGGUGAAGACGAAACGGUUAAGCGCUAAUAACGACUGACUAAUGACGGUACUCACAGAAGAAGACACCGGCUAACUACGUAGCCAGCAGCCGC
RNAcentral lists this ribosomal RNA (494 nucleotides) under uncultured bacterium. Its description in RNAcentral is "bacterial SSU rRNA". It matches the Rfam family "Bacterial small subunit ribosomal RNA", at positions 30 to 518 of the family's 1533-position model. The record is from RNAcentral.